Molecule: long non-coding RNA, 431 nt
Organism: Myotis davidii
Lineage: Eukaryota; Metazoa; Chordata; Mammalia; Chiroptera; Vespertilionidae
Exons: 2
Source: RefSeq, a predicted model, not a curated record
AACUCCAGGCUCUAUGUGCUGUAGAGAACCUGAAGGUCUGGUGCCCAGGUCUAGGCUAAUCUUGGUAGUAAGAGGGCUAUCCCAGGGCAGGUUGAUUGGGUGGUAGUGACAAGAAAGUGAAUUUCCUUGACCACUGCUGAGGAGGAGGAGGAUAACGCACACAGUACGGUAGUGAGUUCAGAGUGUCCGUAUUUGGAGAGAAUUUUCUCUAACUUUGAAUGUUUUAUUCUUCCUACAGAAAAUAGGUUGAUUUUGUCUCCUUUGCUUGAUGAUUAAGAGGAUAGUCGCAUUGCCAUUUAAAAGAAGAGUUUUACAUGAACCAGCAGAUAAGUUGUGAAGCAAGAAAUAAACAAGUUAAUGUGUUAAGAGCCAUUGACAUUUGAAUUUGAAGAUCAUCAGAAGUGAAGAUAAAACAUCUCAAAAAUUAUAAU